CAACCUGGCGGCAUGCCUAUAAUGCAAGUCGAACGCUUCUACUAGUUGAGUGCUUGCACUCAACUAGUUAGAGGAGUGGCGGACGGGUGAGUAACACGUGGGUAACCUGCCCAUAAGUGGGGGAUAACAUUCGGGAACGGAUGCUAAUACCGCAUAAUUCUGAUUGCCGCAUGGCAGACAGAUGAAAGGUGGCUUCGGCUACCGCUUAUGGAUGGACCCGCGGCGUAUUAGCUAGUUGGUGAGGUAAUGGCUCACCAAGGCAAUGAUACGUAGCCGACCUGAGAGGGUGAUCGGCCACACUGGGACUGAGACACGGCCCAGACUCCUACGGGAGGCAGCAGUAGGGAAUCUUCCGCAAUGGACGAAAGUCUGACGGAGCAAUGCCGCGUGAGUGAAGAAGGUUUUCGGAUCGUAAAACUCUGUUGUUAGAGAAGAACAAGGAUGAGAGUAACUGCUCAUCCCCUGACGGUAUCUAACCAUAAAGCCAUGGCUAACUACGUGCCGGCAGCCGCGGUAAU
RNAcentral lists this ribosomal RNA (518 nucleotides) under uncultured bacterium. RNAcentral's name for it is "bacterial SSU rRNA". It matches the Rfam family "Bacterial small subunit ribosomal RNA", at positions 36 to 524 of the family's 1533-position model. The record is from RNAcentral.